UUUUUCUUCACCCAUGGUCAGGGAGGCGCCAUCGCCCUGGCUUUGGGGCUGGGGCCUCCGGGGAGGUUCCGGUAGGGGCGUUGGAGAGGCCGCUCUUUUUGCAAGGCCCGAGAUGGCGGGCCCUGCGCAGGCCGCCCUAUUCCGCGCCCUCAGGGCGUCAGUAUCCGCCUGAGGCCGGAUACCCACUCUGGGCUCGGAUACCCGCGCUGGGCCCGGAGCAUCCUCGGCGCUGCCCUCCCAGAGCCCCGCAGAGGCUGAGGUGGCGCGGGGGCGGCCCCGGCUCCGCGAGAAGAGGCGGCAGCGAGGGCUGGAGGACCCGGGCUACGGGGCUCCGGGGCGUCUGGCCUGGGUGGGACUGAGCCCAUCCAGGGACUGGGACUCCGGGGUUCUGGUGUAGGUGGAUCCCGGGCAGGCUCAGGACCAAGACCCUCUCCUUCCACCAAGGAGCGCCCAGAGGCCGGCGGGAGCUCCAGGUUCACCUCCUCCUCCUCCAGGGACGACUUGAGAAGGCAUCCUGACCCUAUGCAGAAAUGCAGAAACACUUCCAUGAGCUAAACAACCUAUGUGAAGGCCUGAAAGCCAAAGCAAGAUCCUCUUAUUACAAAGCUGUCCAACAAAAAGUUUUCCAAGUAACACUGGAGGUCCAUCACUCACUCUUCCUGGUCUGGAAAUGCCAGAAAUGUCCUCCUUGGUCCUUCUGAGAGUCAAGAUCUUUUCAAAGUCACCUCAGGAGCCACAGAACCACUCCAUCCUACCUGAAAUUGCAGGAUGACUCUUCUUUUGACCAGAGUCUCAAAAAUAUAUUCGUUGAUAAUUUUGAUUCCUGGGAGCCGCCAUUGCUUGCAAAAGAUGUGCCAGGGACUAGACAUUUUCUGUCUCCUCACUUGUCCGGGGAAGACUGAAGUUUUACUGAAACACAGAGAUGGGAAUCUGACCCUCUGAGCAGCCUCAGGAUUUUCUAAGUCUUCCAAGCAGAGUGGAAAUACUGGAAAUCCCACUUCCAGCUGGAUGUCUGGAUGAACUCCUGAAAGCUGCUGAGUGUCCUGCAGCAGGUGAGCUGUGGCCAGAGCCCAAGGAUGAAGGGGACUCCCUCACUCUGUGACUGUGAAGAGGAAGCCUGAGGUGUAGCAGGCCCAGGCCCCAGAAGUAUGGAAAAAAUGAGGCCAUUUCCAAUCCAGAGGAAGACCUUCUAGAAGAAGUGAUGGGUGGGAGAGUGCUGACAUACUAUGCAAAGCUACUAUUUGGAGUUGGACACGAGUGCAUGUGACCUUGUGCCACAGCGGGAAUGUGAGCUGGAUGACAAAUGGAGAUUUGGACUUGUGAUAAUUGGCCUCUGUGUCAUUGUGUGGAAGACUGACUGGUCCCUUUAUUUCCUGUAGCUUGACUACCACACAAAUUAAUCCACUCAAAUGUUGGCAAGUGGAGCAGAGUCCCAGGACAGUCUGCAAUCUCUACAGGUACAGAAACACCCCCAGUUCAAGGAUCUUCACACCUGGAUUUAGGCCUACACCUGCAACUACCCCAGGCCAGUUAUCCAGGCAGUGACUUUCUGUACAGCUACAGUCACCUCUGGACACCUGCGGAGACUUUAAAAAUUUCCAGAAGGUCAGGAAUUUUUGGAGACCUUUCUUAUGGCUACGUUGCCUGCAAAGGUGAAUCAAUAAGCUUCUGAACUGACUUAGAAAAUGUUGCAGAGACUCUUGUGAACAGAUAGACCCUCUCCUGCCACUCCAGAUAGACGUAUCCGGGUCACACACACCUGAUUUAACAACAUCUCAUUAUCUCAGAUGCUGUAAAGGACUGUCAGUAGGCCUUCAGCCAGGAGGUGGUGCUUCCAAAAGACUGCCAGCUGUGGUGGUAGUGGUGAGAUUUGGACUUGCCUUAUGUUACCCAUGGGAGGCACUCUGGUGUCUCAGGAAAUAGGUGGAGCCAUAGAGCUUCUAAAAGUUUCUUCUGUUAUUUGUGUUAAUCUACCAGGGUAGGUGGUUGAGCAAAACCAAGUGGGAACUAGGUCAGGUAAGGUGAUGCUCUGGCUCUCUAUGUGUGGGACAAGCAGUGGAUCCAGUGGGAAUUGGAAGGCAGUUCUUGGGCCACUGGAGUAAUUUUCCAGAGAGAAGUGAAGCUGUCUCUGCCUCUGUACAAGGAGAGUCCAUAUGAAGAAUGGGGAGUAGCAGCUUGGUAGUAAGCCCCAUCCAGCUCCCACACACUUGGCAAGGCAGGUCUCACACCCACAGUGUUCCACUGGGAGUAGCUAGCUAAGUUUCAAGAAGUCUGAGCUCAGAACUCAAAACUGACCCAUACCAUAAGCCUCUCCUAUGGAGACAGCAACUGCAACCUUCAGGCCACACCCUUCCUGAUCCACCUACAGAGCAGGGUCCCCCAGCUCCUGUGCUUGCUGCUGCAGCACACUUCCCACUCACCUCUCAGUUCUGGCCUGGGGAGUUUGUCCCCAGUCAAGAUUAUAUCACACAUUUCAGUUGGGAGGUUGUCUCAACCUGUGACCACCAUCUGAGUUAGCUGGCAGACUUCUAGGAGGUCCUGUCUGAGGUAGAAUCAGAAAUGGCUUCCCUCCAUUCUACCAGAAACUGGGAAUGUGCUGGAGAUUCAAAGCACAUCCCAAUGCCACUCCUCAUAUACUCACCACUCUUCCCUAAAUCAGCUCCAGCGCUGAGUAGGGUUAAGGCCUUCCCUCACGGCCUGGAUUGAUAGGUUUCCCAGUGGAAGUGUAUAUCUUAGAGUCAGUUUACCCUCCUGUCACACCCUGGAAACUUACAAUUUUCUGCCUAGCUUAUGGUGUAAGCUGCAUCCUGCUGUUUCUUUCAAAUGGUCUGUGGCUUUUUUCAAUUUUCCUGUUAAAUUCCUGUGUAGCUUCUUGAAAGAAAGUUCACAGUGUGAGUCUCUACACAGCAUUUUGUCUUUCCAAGUGCAAGAGGCAGACUAACAAUGCCUUCAGUCCACCAUCUUGGAAAACAAAAGUAACAGUUUUCUCAUUUUUAAAAGUUUUGUUAAGAUCUGUUAAUGAUUCACAAAGAAAUAGUACUUGGGUAUAUUUGAAAUUAGUAUUUAUUCAUUUAUGUUGAUAAGUGAAAAUGCAAGAUGGUUAUCAAGAUGGAAGUACUUAAUAUGUAUAUUUUAAUAUUCUUAGAUGCAGAUAACUUCACUUUUGAUGUAUUUUUAUUUUGUCUCAGUUUCAUUUCAACUUACGUUUAAGGGGUUCUUGAUAAUCUGACAUGAUAAGUGGUGUUGGAAUUGGCAUUAAAAUCCACCAUGCUCUACAGCACUUCAUCCUUCUUCGGCAGGCACCAAUUUGAUCUUCUACUACUUUGCAGACAUCUCUUCUGCAAACACCAGACAAACUGAGACAAUGAACUUCCGCAGGACCCAAAGCACCUCUUACUGCAGGAAAGAAGAUCCAGUGAGAUAGUUAGUCCACAAAUGGAAUGUCAAUCCAUAAACACACUUAAGUAACAGAAUAAAUUUAGUAUGAGCGUUUUUAUGUGGGAGCUCUUGAAAUGGUUGCUGCUCAUAUGUCAGAGACAUAUGCAGUUUAAGAAAGGUAGCAGUUCCAAUCCUGGUUUGGCCCAACAGUCACUGCAUUUUUGGUGGGGAAAAGGGAUGUGGGAGGAGAUGGUACAUCUUCAUCUUUUUCUCUGGGUUUUCUGUCAGAAAGGGAUGUUGCUUACUCCAGUGGCAAAAAAUGCCAGUGUCUUCUGCCAGAGUGGGUUACUGAGGGCCAUGGUGGUUCCACCUUGUGGCUGAUACAGAUAGUCCCUUUCUGCUUUUGUUUCUAGCCAAAAAAGAUGUUUCUCGCAUCUCAGGUAUGCAGACUUCAGCAGCUGUUUUUUCUAUAUGGCUAUUUUUUUUUUCUUUCACUCUCUCUUUCUCUCUUUUUUUUUUGUUGGCUUCACUGUGUUGCCAUAGUUUCUUAAAUGGUCCCUUGAACCCUCCCAGAGCUAUUUUGGUUUGUACAUAACUAUCUAUAUAUUUUUUUCUUGGGGGGAGUGUGUAGAGCUAAAGGCUGGUAUAUCCUGCUCCUGCUCCCCGAAAGUGACGUUAUUCCCCCAAGCUAAUAUUUCAGGCUUUCAAUUUAUUCAUGCUUUCAUCUGUUUAAACAUAAGUAGAAAUUACUUUUUCUCUCCACAUUUAGAUUUGAUCUAUCUACUUUAAUUGCUAAUAGUGUCUUAGUCAUAGAAUAGAUUAGUUAGAAAAAAGUGUUUUUGACAUUAUAAAUGAUUCUUUCAAUUUGUGUCUAAAAGUGGAAAAUACUAGAAAGCUUAACAUUUAUUAUUGUAUUCAGACCAGUAUUUCCUCCAGAUGACCUUUAUUACAACAAAGAUAAUUUAAUGAAGAUCUCUCUAAUGGUAAAGCUGAUGGCUUUGUGCUAUUACAAUAUCCUUCAAAUAAAGUGACGAUCUGGUGGAAAGAACAACUAAAGCAAGGAUUAGGAAGAAAACAGUUAAUACCUUCAUUUUGGUCUCACUCUGCAUUAAGAGUUUUCAUUGUGUUAAGGAUUUAUUAUACAUUAAGUAAUUUAAUGUUCAUUUAAUAAUAAAUGGAUCCUAUUAAAUAUGAUUUUUAAAAUUAUAAUCAC
RNAcentral lists this long non-coding RNA (4591 nucleotides) under Homo sapiens (human). RNAcentral's name for it is "HSALNT0366518". Lineage: Eukaryota; Metazoa; Chordata; Mammalia; Primates; Hominidae. The record is from RNAcentral.